This 420-nucleotide ribosomal RNA is filed under the name bacterium. RNAcentral describes it as "partial 16S ribosomal RNA". It matches the Rfam family "Bacterial small subunit ribosomal RNA", at positions 355 to 776 of the family's 1533-position model. The record is from RNAcentral.
UGGGGGAUAUUGCACAAUGGGCGAAAGCCUGAUGCAGCGACGCCGCGUGGGGGAUGAAGGCCUUCGGGUUGUAAACCUCUUUCGCUAUCGAACAAGGCCCGCUUAGGGUGGGUUGAGGGUAGGUGGAGAAGAAGCGCCGGCUAACUACGUGCCAGCAGCCGCGGUAAUACGUAGGGGGCGAGCGUUGUCCGGAAUUAUUGGGCGUAAAGGGCUUGUAGGCGGCUUGUUGCGCCUGCUGUGAAAACGCGGGGCUUAACUUCGGGCGUGCGGUGGGUACGGGCAGGCUUGAGUGUGGUAGGGGUGACUGGAAUUCCAGGUGUAGCGGUGGAAUGCGCAGAUAUCUGGAGGAGCACCGAUGGCGAAGGCAGGUCACUGGUCCAUUACUGACGCUGAGGAGCGAAAGCAUGGGUAGCGAACAGG